RNAcentral lists this ribosomal RNA (114 nucleotides) under Staphylococcus aureus. Lineage: Bacteria; Bacillati; Bacillota; Bacilli; Caryophanales; Staphylococcaceae. The record is from RNAcentral. RNAcentral also lists the same sequence under 1 other name.
UGGUGACUAUAGCAAGGAGGUCACACCUGUUACCAUGCCGAACACAGAAGUUAAGCUCCUUAGCGUCGAUGGUAGUCGAACUUACGUUCCGCUAGAGUAGAACGUUGCCAGGCA